Suricata suricatta (meerkat) is the source of this 2099-nucleotide long non-coding RNA. RefSeq lists it as uncharacterized. The transcript has 3 exons. Lineage: Eukaryota; Metazoa; Chordata; Mammalia; Carnivora; Herpestidae. The record is from RefSeq and is a predicted model, not a curated record.
CCCCCCCCCGCCGCAAGCAAGGGAGAGUCCGGAUAAAGCGUGGCCUCUGCAGAGCCCUCUUGGCUGGAGCCCGCUGGGCUCCAGGUCACCUGGACCCCGAGCAGACAGAGAAAAGCCCCAGCAGGGCCCGGGAACAGAAACACCCCACCACGUUUGAAAAGUGGAAAGGAAAAGGCCCACAGCAUCCCCGGAGAAGAAAGGGAAUAGUUUUUCUGCAUUUCUCCAGUUAUCCCCUCACCUAAGGUGGUGAGGCCCAUUCUAGUUCAAAGGAGAGGAAAUCCCCAUUUGGAAGUGAGAUCUCAGAGUUCUGGGUUUUACACAAUACUGGUUAGAUAGACAUCCACUGAGUUUUAAGGUUUUUUUUUAGGAGUUUCAUUUUUAAGGUCCACCUUGGUAAACCCCUGUGAGAAUCCCACCCUUGGCUCAGAGGUGUUGAGAACUGAGGCAGGGAGAAGCCACCCCUGAUUCUGACAACCAGGAGUCGCCCUGUGGAAAUGAGCCCGCCAGCCCCGUUGACAAACCACUUACCCCGAAAGGCACUUUUUAGUGGAGCCUUGGGUAAGGUUUUUUUUUUUCGUUGCAUUAUGAUUCUUCCAAGGAAAUGGGAAAGGGGGUGUUAAUCCUACCUCUUCCCUUGUAAUGGCUUUUGAAAAAAAUAGUAAAGUCUCUUUAAAUUUCGGGAGACCUCGCUGACACACAGGCUUCCUUAGAACCUUAGGAUGAGUGUUACCCAGAGACACCCCUGCCUCUGGGGCUGCAGAGCGAAGCCAGGGCCCCGCCGGCGGCUUCCACAUCCAAACUGCACUUUAACUGACUAAUCCUCCAUUCUCGAGGCCUUAGGGGACAGUGGGUCUGGGAACCCAUUGCAUCCUUACUGCCAAAGAACUCCCCAGAAGCACAUCAAAUCGCCAACGCCCCACCUGCACCGUGGGGGGUGGUGAGAAACUUUUGCAUCCCACAACAUGUACCUUUAUAUGAACAUCUGCGGCACCAUUUGGAAUGGUUUUAUUUUUAACCUCAGGAUUUAAAUAAAGCGAACGCUAUGACACGGGGAGUCACGUUGUCUUCCCUUCCACUUGGGACCUGAGGCGAGUGAUGAAGUCACCCGGACCGGACUGGGGGUGGAGUCGCCCUGCAGGGAGAUAGAGCUUCCGCUGGCACCCCUGGCUUUUCAGAUGGGCUCGAGCCACCAGAUGUUCCGAGAGGGUGGCCGUGCAGCCUGGCAUCUGGGUGCUCCCACCCCGUCUACCAUGAGGUGGGUGUCAGACCUGCUGGAGCCGAGGUAACCGGCCCCACUGCUCUCCAGAAGAGCAGAGAGCACAGAGCACAGGCAUGGUGGGGGGGAGGGGCAAAGUCACGGAUGCCCUAAAACCACGCCCAGUCGACCUUGAACAAAGCUGGGUAAGACCAAGCCAGCUGGUGGAGGAAGGAGUCCCGUUCAGCCUGACAGCGCCCACCCCUGCUGAAUCAGCAGGGACCUGCCACAGAGCCGGAAGGGGCGGGACCCCGACCCUCCUGGACCGGGAUCCCGGCCUGGCUCAGGGCCCGCGGGCUCCAGGACACUCGGAAGUGCCGCGUCUCUUCUGGCCGCGGUGCCCGGCGGGGCUGGAGGAUGUACGGGUUCCCCGGGGGACUCAAAAGGAAACUCACGGCAGGUCAGCCCUUUCAGUUUGAAGAUGCGUGGGAAAAAUCUGGCGAGAAGAGCUUGCCACCCACACAGAGUGGUGAAACCUGUCACCCAAGAGCUCCAGGAAGAAGCAGGAGUUUGGCGCUGAUGGAUGUGGGAUGGGGGAGGCGGAUCGGACAUGGGCUCCUCACCGGGCCAUACUCGGAAUUCAGAAGGUCCGGGAACCUGGACACGGAGGAAACGGCCUCUUUCCCCUGACUCCGAACUAAAAGUUAGAUCUUCCCUCCACGAUGAAGCUAAACAACGUGUCACACGAGUGUGUGUCAGCAAGCGCUGUGACCUCGUCGCCAGGGAAAUGACAGGUAUUUUCAUAUUUACAGACCCUCAACGCACCAUCUCCGCUCCGAAACGAAGGUUGUCAUUAGGCCGUCUGGUUGAUUCUACUUAAUGCAUUAAUAACAAUAAAAAAAAA